CGGCGAUACCCGAAUGGGGAAACCCAGUGUGACUCGUCACACUAUCAUUAACUGAAUCCAUAGGUUAAUGAGGCGAACCGGGGGAACUGAAACAUCUAAGUACCCCGAGGAAAAGAAAUCAACCGAGAUUCCCCCAGUAGCGGCGAGCGAACGGGGAGGAGCCCAGAGCCUGAAUCAGCAUGUGUGUUAGUGGAAGCGUCUGGAAAGGCGCGCGAUACAGGGUGACAGCCCCGUACACAAAAGCGCAUGUGCUGUGAGCUCGAUGAGUAGGGCGGGACACGUGGUAUCCUGUCUGAAUAUGGGGGGACCAUCCUCCAAGGCUAAAUACUCCUGACUGACCGAUAGUGAACCAGUACCGUGAGGGAAAGGCGAAAAGAACCCCGGCGAGGGGAGUGAAAAAGAACCUGAAACCGUGUACGUACAAGCAGUGGGAGCACCCUUUGGGUGUGACUGCGUACCUUUUGUAUAAUGGGUCAGCGACUUAUAUUCUGUAGCAAGGUUAACCGAAUAGGGGAGCCGGAGGGAAACCGAGUCUUAACCGGGCGUUAAGUUGCAGGGUAUAGACCCGAAACCCGGUGAUCUAGCCAUGGGCAGGUUGAAGGUUGGGUAACACUAACUGGAGGACCGAACCGACUAAUGUUGAAAAAUUAGCGGAUGACCUGUGGCUGGGGGUGAAAGGCCAAUCAAACCGGGAGAUAGCUGGUUCUCCCCGAAAGCUAUUUAGGUAGCGCCUCGUGAAUUCAUCUCCGGGGGUAGAGCACUGUUUCGGCUAGGGGGCCAUCCCGGCUUACCAACCCGAUGCAAACUGCGAAUACCGGAGAAUGUUAUCACGGGAGACACACGGCGGGUGCUAACGUCCGUCGUGAAGAGGGAAACAACCCAGACCGCCAGCUAAGGUCCCAAAGUCAUGGUUAAGUGGGAAACGAUGUGGGAAGGCCCAGACAGCCAGGAUGUUGGCUUAGAAGCAGCCAUCAUUUAAAGAAAGCGUAAUAGCUCACUGGUCGAGUCGGCCUGCGCGGAAGAUGUAACGGGGCUAAACCAUGCACCGAAGCUGCGGCAGCGACACUGUGUGUUGUUGGGUAGGGGAGCGUUCUGUAAGCCUGUGAAGGUGUGUCGUGAGGCAUGCUGGAGGUAUCAGAAGUGCGAAUGCUGACAUAAGUAACGAUAAAGCGGGUGAAAAGCCCGCUCGCCGGAAGACCAAGGGUUCCUGUCCAACGUUAAUCGGGGCAGGGUGAGUCGACCCCUAAGGCGAGGCCGAAAGGCGUAGUCGAUGGGAAACGGGUUAAUAUUCCCGUACUUGGUGUUACUGCGAAGGGGGGACGGAGAAGGCUAUGUUGGCCGGGCGACGGUUGUCCCGGUUUAAGCGUGUAGGUGUGUGUUCCAGGUAAAUCCGGUUCACUUUAACACUGAGGCGUGACGACGAGGCACUACGGUGCUGAAGCAACAAAUGCCCUGCUUCCAGGAAAAGCCUCUAAGCAUCAGGUAACAUCAAAUCGUACCCCAAACCGACACAGGUGGUCAGGUAGAGAAUACCAAGGCGCUUGAGAGAACUCGGGUGAAGGAACUAGGCAAAAUGGUGCCGUAACUUCGGGAGAAGGCACGCUGACACGUAGGUGAAGUGAUUUACUCAUGGAGCUGAAGUCAGUCGAAGAUACCAGCUGGCUGCAACUGUUUAUUAAAAACACAGCACUGUGCAAACACGAAAGUGGACGUAUACGGUGUGACGCCUGCCCGGUGCCGGAAGGUUAAUUGAUGGGGUCAGCGCAAGCGAAGCUCCUGAUCGAAGCCCCGGUAAACGGCGGCCGUAACUAUAACGGUCCUAAGGUAGCGAAAUUCCUUGUCGGGUAAGUUCCGACCUGCACGAAUGGCGUAAUGAUGGCCAGGCUGUCUCCACCCGAGACUCAGUGAAAUUGAACUCGCUGUGAAGAUGCAGUGUACCCGCGGCAAGACGGAAAGACCCCGUGAACCUUUACUAUAGCUUGACACUGAACAUUGAGCCUUGAUGUGUAGGAUAGGUGGGAGGCUUUGAAGUGUGGACGCCAGUCUGCAUGGAGCCGACCUUGAAAUACCACCCUUUAAUGUUUGAUGUUCUAACGUGGACCCGUUACCCGGGUUGCGGACAGUGUCUGGUGGGUAGUUUGACUGGGGCGGUCUCCUCCUAAAGAGUAACGGAGGAGCACGAAGGUUGGCUAAUCCUGGUCGGACAUCAGGAGGUUAGUGCAAUGGCAUAAGCCAGCUUGACUGCGAGCGUGACGGCGCGAGCAGGUGCGAAAGCAGGUCAUAGUGAUCCGGUGGUUCUGAAUGGAAGGGCCAUCGCUCAACGGAUAAAAGGUACUCCGGGGAUAACAGGCUGAUACCGCCCAAGAGUUCAUAUCGACGGCGGUGUUUGGCACCUCGAUGUCGGCUCAUCACAUCCUGGGGCUGAAGUAGGUCCCAAGGGUAUGGCUGUUCGCCAUUUAAAGUGGUACGCGAGCUGGGUUUAGAACGUCGUGAGACAGUUCGGUCCCUAUCUGCCGUGGGCGCUGGAGAACUGAGGGGGGCUGCUCCUAGUACGAGAGGACCGGAGUGGACGCAUCACUGGUGUUCGGGUUGUCAUGCCAAUGGCACUGCCCGGUAGCUAAAUGCGGAAGAGAUAAGUGCUGAAAGCAUCUAAGCACGAAACUUGCCCCGAGAUGAGUUCUCCCUGAGACUUAAAGUCUCCUGAAGGAACGUUGAAGACGACGACGUUGAUAGGCCGGGUGUGUAAGCGCAGCGAUGCGUUGAGCUAACCGGUACUAAUGAACCGUGAGGCUUAACCUUACAACGCCG
RNAcentral lists this ribosomal RNA (2808 nucleotides) under Salmonella enterica subsp. enterica serovar Enteritidis. Its description in RNAcentral is "partial 23S ribosomal RNA". It matches the Rfam family "Bacterial large subunit ribosomal RNA". Lineage: Bacteria; Pseudomonadati; Pseudomonadota; Gammaproteobacteria; Enterobacterales; Enterobacteriaceae. The record is from RNAcentral.